CCCCUACGGGAGGCAGCAGUGGGGAAUAUUGCACAAUGGGGGAAACCCUGAUGCAGCGACGCCGCGUGAGUGAAGAAGGUUUUCGGAUUGUAAACUAUUGUCGUUAGGGAAGAAAAAAAGACAGUACCUAAGGAGGAAGCUCCGGCUAACUACGUGCCAGCAGCCGCGGUAAUACGUAGGGAGCGAGCGUUAUCCGGAUUUAUUGGGUGUAAAGGGUGCGUAGACGGGUAUACAAGUUGGUUGUGAAAUCCCUCGGCUUAACUGAGGAACUGCAACCAAAACUGUAUAUCUUGAGUACAG
Molecule: ribosomal RNA, 300 nt
Filed under: uncultured bacterium
Lineage: Bacteria
Description: bacterial SSU rRNA
Rfam family: Bacterial small subunit ribosomal RNA
Source: RNAcentral